This 391-nucleotide long non-coding RNA is filed under the name Canis lupus familiaris (dog). RNAcentral's name for it is "lncRNA (ENSCAFG00845027503.1)". The record is from RNAcentral. Lineage: Eukaryota; Metazoa; Chordata; Mammalia; Carnivora; Canidae.
UUGAAGAGUACAUCCUGCAGAGAGUAGCUUAAGCUAGAAAGGACUGCCUGUGACACCUGCCUGCUAUCUAUAAAACACUCAUUCCUCUUUCAACUCUGCCUGCAGCCGAACACAAAGACCUGGAGGAGACUCCCACAUCCUUCGGGGAGAAGAAAGGAGGCAGCGGCGCCGGUUCCGGGAGCUCGUGGCUCGUGGCCUUCGGGAGGGGGGAAGUGGAUCGCGGCGUUGGCGGCGGCGUUGGCGGCGGCGGGCGAGCCGUGAGAUGCGGCGGCGCCGCGGCGGCGCCUGCUGACACCCCGGUCCCCGGCGCCGGCCGCUGCCCUUUGUGCUUCGCGUACAUGUGUCAGCUCGGCGCAUCCGGAGGCGCGCGCACCGGAAUCCAACACGGCCG